RNAcentral lists this ribosomal RNA (83 nucleotides) under Lacticaseibacillus casei. The record is from RNAcentral. Lineage: Bacteria; Bacillati; Bacillota; Bacilli; Lactobacillales; Lactobacillaceae.
UGUGGUGGCGAUAGCAAGAAGGAUACACCUGUUCCCAUGCCGAACACAGAAGUUAAGCUUCUUCACGCCGAGAGUAGUUGGUG